AGUGAACGCUGGCGGUAGGCCUAACACAUGCGAGUCGAACGGCAGCACAGUAAGAGCUUGUUCUUACGGGUAGCGAGUGGCGGACGGGUGAGGAGUACAUCGGAAUCUACUUUUUCGUGGGGGAUAACGUAGGGAAACUUACGCUAAUACCGCAUACGACCUACGGGUGAAAGCAGGGGAUCUUCGGACCUUGCGCGAUUGAAUGAGCCGAUGUCGGAUUAGCUAGUUGGCGGGGUAAAGGCCCACCAAGGCGACGAUCCGUAGCUGGUCUGAGAGGAUGAUCAGCCACACUGGAACUGAGACACGGUCCAGACUCCUACGGGAGGCAGCAGUGGGGAAUAUUGGACAAUGGGCGCAAGCCUGAUCCAGCCAUACCGCGUGGGUGAAGAAGGCCUUCGGGUUGUAAAGCCCUUUUGUUGGGAAAGAAAAGCAGCAGGUUAAUACCCCGCUGUUCUGACGGUACCCAAAGAAUAAGCACCGGCUAACUUCGUG
This 492-nucleotide ribosomal RNA is filed under the name uncultured bacterium. Its description in RNAcentral is "partial 16S ribosomal RNA". It matches the Rfam family "Bacterial small subunit ribosomal RNA", at positions 29 to 507 of the family's 1533-position model. The record is from RNAcentral.